GCAAACCCGCUGAACUGAAACAUCUAAGUAGGCGGAGGAGAAGAAAACAAAAGUGAUUGCGUAAGUAGUGGCGAGCGAACGCGCAGAAGCCCAAACCAAAGUUGUUACGGCAAUUUUGGGGUUGUAGGACCACGAUAUUGUAUGCAAAGCGAAUAAGAAUCAUCUGGAAAGAUGAACCGCAGAGGGUGAUAGUCCCGUAUUGGUAAGCGAUGUAAUGCAUAGUGGUAUCCUGAGUAGGUCGGGGCACGUGAAACCUUGAUUGAAACCGGCGGGACCAUCCGCCAAGGCUAAAUACUCCUGAGAGACCGAUAGUGAACCAGUACCGUGAGGGAAAGGUGAAAAGAACCGUGAAUAACGGAGUGAAACAGAACCUGAAACCAUACGCCUACAAGCGGUCGGAGCCCAUUCGUUGGGUGACGGCGUGCCUUUUGCAUAAUGAGCCUACGAGUUACCGUUGCUGGCAAGGUUAAGUACUUCAGGUACGCAGCCGAAGCGAAAGCGAGUCUUAAUAGGGCGCUGUAGUCAGUAAUGGUAGACGCGAAACCGUGUGAUCUACCCAUGGGCAGGUUGAAGUUUGGGUAACACCAAAUGGAGGACCGAACCGGUUGACGUUGAAAAGUCUUCGGAUGACCUGUGGGUAGGGGUGAAAGGCCAAUCAAACUCGGAAAUAGCUCGUACUCCCCGAAAUGCAUUUAGGUGCAGCGCUGAUAUAGUUUAUUAGAGGUAGAGCUACUGAUUGGAUGCGGGGGCUUCACCGCCUACCAAUUCCUGACAAACUCCGAAUGCUAAUAAAUGAUUUACAGCAGUGAGGGCAUGGGUGCUAAGGUCCAUGUCCGAGAGGGAAAGAACCCAGACCAUCAGCUAAGGUCCCCAAAUGUAUGCUAAGUUGAAAAAACGCGGUUUGAUUGCCCCGACAGCUAGGAUGUUGGCUUGGAAGCAGCCAUUCAUUUAAAGAGUGCGUAACAGCUCACUAGUCGAGCGAUCGAGCAUGGAUAAUAAUCGGGCAUAAGCAUACUACCGAAGCUAUGGAUUGUACAUUGUACAGUGGUAGGGGAGCAUUCUAAACCGGGUAGAAGGUGAUUUGUGAGAAUUGCUGGACUGUUUAGAAAAGAAAAUGUAGGCAUAAGUAACGAUAAUGCGGGCGAGAAACCCGCACACCGUAAGACCAAGGUUUCCGCAGCUAUGCUAAUCAGCUGCGGGUUAGUCGGGACCUAAGGCACACCCGAAGGGGGACGUCGAUGGCCAACGGGUUAAUAUUCCCGUACUUGUACUAGUUGUGAUGGAGUGACGCAGUGGUGAAAGUACCGCGAACUGACGGAAUAGUUCGUUAAAGCACGUACCUAUAAGAUCUAUAGUAAAAUGCGUAGAUUUUGGAGAAAUGCGAUAGUACUCGGAGCCUUCGGGCAAAGAGAUAGUGUACCUAAAGGCUGUCAAGAAAAGCUUCUAAACUUAGAUUAUUACAACCCGUACCGCAAACCGACACAGGUGGUCGAGGAGAGUAUCCUCAGGUGCUCGAGAGAUUCAUGGCUAAGGAAUUAGGCAAAAUAGACCUGUAACUUCGGGAGAAAGGUCGCCAGCGCAAGCUGGCCGCAGUGAAAAGGUCCAGGCGACUGUUUAUCAAAAACACAGGGCUCUGCCAAAUCGUAAGAUGAAGUAUAGGGCCUGACACCUGCCCGGUGCUGGAAGGUUAAGAGGAGAUGUUAUCUUCGGAGAAGCAUUGAAUUGAAGCCCCAGUAAACGGCGGCCGUAACUAUAACGGUCCUAAGGUAGCGAAAUUCCUUGUCGGGUAAGUUCCGACCUGCACGAAUGGUGUAACGAUCUGGACACUGUCUCAGCCAUGAGCUCGGUGAAAUUGUAGUAUCGGUGAAGAUGCCGAUUACCCGCAGUGGGACGAAAAGACCCUGUGCACCUUUACUAUAGCUUAGUAUUGUUCUUGGAUAAGUGAUGUGUAGGAUAGGUGGGAGACUGUGAAAUGGCGUCGC
This 1982-nucleotide ribosomal RNA is filed under the name Paenimyroides ummariense. RNAcentral's name for it is "bacterial LSU rRNA". It matches the Rfam family "Bacterial large subunit ribosomal RNA", at positions 179 to 2171 of the family's 2925-position model. The record is from RNAcentral. Lineage: Bacteria; Pseudomonadati; Bacteroidota; Flavobacteriia; Flavobacteriales; Flavobacteriaceae.